This 403-nucleotide ribosomal RNA is filed under the name uncultured bacterium. Its description in RNAcentral is "bacterial SSU rRNA". It matches the Rfam family "Bacterial small subunit ribosomal RNA", at positions 355 to 775 of the family's 1533-position model. The record is from RNAcentral.
UAGGGAAUAUUAGUAAUGGGCGAAAGCCUGAACUAGCAACGCCGCGUGUGCGAAGAAGGCCUUCGGGUUGUAAAGCACUUUUUGAGAGGAUGAGGAAGGACGGUACUCUCAGAAUAAGUCUCGGCUAACUACGUGCCAGCAGCCUCGGUAACACGUAGGAGGCGAACGUUAUCCGGAUUUACUGGGCGUAAAGCGCGUGUAGGUGGUUUGGUAAGUAGGGCGUGAAAGCUCCUGGCUCAACUGGGAGAGGCCGUUCUAAACUGCCGAACUAGAGGAUGGUAGGGGGAGGUGGAAUUCCGGGUGUAGCGGUGGAAUGCGCAGAUAUCCGGAGGAACACCAGUGGCGAAAGCGGCCUCCUGGACCACUCCUGACACUCAGCCGCGAAAGCUAGGGUAGCAAACAG